This is a long non-coding RNA of Lagopus muta (rock ptarmigan), 282 nucleotides long. RefSeq lists it as uncharacterized. The record is from RefSeq and is a predicted model, not a curated record. The transcript has 3 exons. Lineage: Eukaryota; Metazoa; Chordata; Aves; Galliformes; Phasianidae.
AAUUCAGCUGUGUGACUGGAUGGGAUGGAGCCUGGCUCUACCUUUCCUGGACCCCAUUUAAGGGCUGACUGCCACUGGGUAAGGGUGUCUUUCUGGAGAUCCUUCUUCUGUGGAGUCUUUCCUGUGAAUCUGGAUUUCAGAUACAGGUAAAGAACCACCAUCCUGUCUCACAAUACAUAUUGGACUGUAUCAUUUUACUUUCGAAGGAUAUUGAAGUCAUACAUGGAAAGGGUACCUGCAGGAACGUGGUUAAAAGAGUUGAUAUGCUUCACUGACUGAAAA